Molecule: ribosomal RNA, 254 nt
Filed under: uncultured bacterium
Lineage: Bacteria
Description: partial 16S ribosomal RNA
Rfam family: Bacterial small subunit ribosomal RNA
Source: RNAcentral
UACGUAGGUGGCAAGCGUUGUCCGGAAUCACUGGGCGUAAAGCGCACGUAGGCGGCUUUUUAAGUCAGGGGUGAAAUCCUGGAGCUCAACUCCAGAACUGCCUUUGAUACUGAGGAUCUUGAGUUCGGGAGAGGUGAGUGGAACUGCGAGUGUAGAGGUGAAAUUCGUAGAUAUUCGCAAGAACACCAGUGGCGAAGGCGGCUCACUGGCCCGAUACUGACGCUGAGGCACGAAAGCGUGGGGAGCAAACAGGG